UACGUAGGAAGCAAGCGUUGUCCGGAAUUACUGGGCGUAAAGGGUGCGUAGGCUGUUUUUUAAGUCUGAUGUGAAAUCCUGUGGCUUAACCAUAGAACUGCAUCAGAUACUGGGAGACUAGAGUGCGGAAGAGGUUGACGGAAUUACUAGUGUAGCGGUAGAAUGCGUAGAUAUUAGUAAGAAGACCGGUGGCGAAGGCGGUCAACUGGGACGUAACUGACGCUGAGGCACGAAAGCGUGGGGAGCAAACAGG
RNAcentral lists this ribosomal RNA (253 nucleotides) under uncultured bacterium. RNAcentral describes it as "partial 16S ribosomal RNA". It matches the Rfam family "Bacterial small subunit ribosomal RNA", at positions 524 to 776 of the family's 1533-position model. The record is from RNAcentral.